CUUGAGGCUUUGCUACUGUAAGAUUAAUUACUUGCAUUUUCGUUAGUCACUAGUUCUUUAAUUGAGGCUUUGCUACUGUAAGAUUAAUAUUUGGAGUGAUUGUUGAUGUUAUAUACUUGAGGCUUGACGAGUCACUGGUUCCUGUGUUUGGAGUGAUUGUUAAUGUUAUUUACUUGCAUUUUCGUUAGUCACUGGUUCUUUAAUUGACUUUGGCUUGCUUUGGUUGGCUUUGUCACUGAAUAAUUACUUGUGUUUCAUUCUAACAUAUUCAUUAUUUUGUUUCUGUGUUUUGAGGUUUGGUCGUGACAAAGGGAAACUGACCCGGAGGAUCACAAAGACUUUUACAAAAAAGUUUGAUGAAGCUUAUUACAGUUGGAGUGUUGUGCCUCAGAACAAAAGAGAGACGAUAUUUGUAGAAUUUGCAAAAACUCACACUUGAGAUCAAAUACACACUGGUAUUGUUCAGGAGAAAUUUGAGGCGGUAUGUCAGCGACGUAUGAAGGACAUGGUUAGCGUUCGUAGGAGGUCUCGAGUGCGACCAUCCUGGAUCCACGGUGAACUGUGGGAACAAAUGACAGCGUAUUGGGACACUCCCGAAGCGGAAAAAAAGAGUCAGACAGCAUCAGACUCUCGGUUGUCUGACCGGAACGGACUUGGUCCAGACAAGCACAACUCCGGCCAGAAGUCUUUCGAACAAAUCAAACAUGAAAUGGUUGAGAAAUUGGGCAGACCAGUUACUCUUGGUGAAGUUUUCAUGGAGACACAUACAAGAAAUGAUGGGACCUUUGUCGAUUUGAAAGCAGAGAAGGUUGCAGAGAUGUAUAAGAAGAACAAAGAAGCCAAGUUGACUGCCCUUGAGGCUGAAAACUCACAGACUUCAGACAGUGCUUCCAAUGAUCCACAGCUCUCCAGAGGAGGAUAACGAGAUAUUCCUUUUGUCAACUUUCACAAAUGAAAGAGGACAGCACUAUGGCAUUGGAAGCCUCCAGCAAACUCUCGUCAAUGGGAAACGGACGUUCAGUGAAUUCUCUUCUUCUGCAUUCCUCGACAUGAAGAAGCUUCUUGAAGAUGCUCACCGCAAAAUAGAAGAGCAGGCUGCUUCCAAUGCAGCACAUGCUGCUAUUAUUGAAGAGCAAGGUGCUUGUAUUGCAGCAGAUCAAGGAGUUCUCUAUAGUGGGGAAGUUUCUAGCUGCAACUAAUCCAUUAUAUAAUGAGUUUGUAGCUGCUAAUUCCAGCACCUGAUCAUGCUUUCCUGUUUAUUUACCUAGAAACUUAUGACUUUUGUAAGUUCUUUUGUUUAGUUGCUUGUUUCAAACUUUUGGGGCUUUAACAUUUUCAGUUUUAAAAUUAACUACUGCCUU
Brassica oleracea var. oleracea is the source of this 1361-nucleotide long non-coding RNA. RefSeq lists it as uncharacterized. The transcript is spliced from 4 exons. The record is from RefSeq and is a predicted model, not a curated record. Lineage: Eukaryota; Viridiplantae; Streptophyta; Magnoliopsida; Brassicales; Brassicaceae.